UACGAAGGGUGCAAGCGUUAAUCGGAAUUACUGGGCGUAAAGCGUGCGUAGGUGGUCUUUUAAGUCCGUUGUGAAAGCCCUGGGCUCAACCUGGGAAUGGCAGUGGAUACUGGAAGGCUGGAGUACGGUAGAGGAGGGCGGAAUUCCAGGUGUAGCGGUGAAAUGCGUAGAUAUCUGGAGGAACACCGGUGGCGAAGGCGGCAUCCUGGACCGAGAUUGACGCUGAUGCGCGAAAGCCAGGGGAGCAAACGGG
This 253-nucleotide ribosomal RNA is filed under the name uncultured bacterium. RNAcentral describes it as "partial 16S ribosomal RNA". It matches the Rfam family "Bacterial small subunit ribosomal RNA", at positions 524 to 776 of the family's 1533-position model. The record is from RNAcentral.